RNAcentral lists this long non-coding RNA (1326 nucleotides) under Gossypium barbadense (sea-island cotton). RNAcentral describes it as "long non-coding RNA (GBAR_LNC016806)". The record is from RNAcentral. Lineage: Eukaryota; Viridiplantae; Streptophyta; Magnoliopsida; Malvales; Malvaceae.
GAAAAUUGAAAGAGAAAGAAGCCAUGGAAGCUUGAACUUUCGGCCAACCCCAUUUUGCUUGCAUGUGAGUAUCAUUUGUCCAGUUUUUUAUAGUUUUUAUGUUUUUGAGAUCGUUGCUUCGUGUUCUAAUUAGCCCAUACCCUAAUUUUUGAAUUUGUGGAUGAACUUGUGAGUUUCCAUUGAUGAUAGAUUGAUGUUUUUGAAUGUUGAUGAUGGAAAAUGAAUAAUUGUUGAUAGAUUAAUAUGUUUUGUAAAGUGAUUUUUGACAAAAAUGUCAAAUAGGGAUUAAAUUGUGAAAUAUGAAAAUUGAGUGGUUGAAAUGUGAAAUAAAUGAAAGUUUUGGGCUGCUAGGGGCACUAUAGUAAUUCGGCUAAGCUUGGGUUAUAUUGAAUUGUGUAAAUUUUGUAUAUUUGUGAAAUAGGGACUAAAUUUAAUAAAUGUGAAACUUUAGGGGUUAAAGUGUAAAAAUGUCCAAAUAGGUAUUUUUGGAUGAAAUUGAAUGAGUAGGUGAUUAAAUGAGUUAAAUUUGAAUUCAUAUAGAUCAAGAAAGAAAGAAAUCGGAUUUAGAUCGGGGGAAAUCGAAAGUUGACGAGUAGUUGAUCCGAUCUGUUCGUUUACGUACGAGGCAAGUUCAUAAGUAAAUAAAUGUUUUUGAAUUCAAAUGUAUAUGUUUUAUAUAUUGCCGAAUUGAUUUAUAUGUAGAUAUAUAUAUUGCCGAAUUGAUUUGUAUAUGUAUAUAUAUUGCCAAAUUGAUUUGAGAUCCCGUAUAAGACUAUAUUUGGGAUAUGACAUCGGCAUCGAUUUGAGAUCCUGUAUAAGACCAUGUCUGGGAUAUAGCAUCGGCAUCGAUUUGAGAUCUCGUAUAAUACCAUGUCUAGGAUAUGACAUCGGCAUCGAUUUGAGAUCUCGUAUAAGACCAUAUCUUGGAUAUGACAUCGACAUUGAUUUGAGAUUUCGUAUAAGACCAUAUCUGGGAUAUGAGAUCGAUGUGAGACUUCGUGUAAGACCAUAGUUGGGCUAUUGGCAUCGAUAUGAGAUUUCCAUGUAAGACCAUGUCUAGGACAUGACAUUUGUACGAUACAUUAUGUACGAGUUUUCCCGAGUAUCCUUAGUAUUCCAAGUGGUUCAACGGGUAAUCCAAAGAUUAUGUUAAAGAAAAGACAAGGUAUGAUCAUGUUGAAAGGAUACAGGUAUGUACGAAAAAUUCAUGAGUAAUGAACUCGAUGUAUAUUGAACAUUUGGCAAGAAUGUAAAUGAGUAAGUCAUAUUUAUGAGAAUGAUCUUGUGAUGACCUUGUGAUUAUAGGUCUAUGCUUAUGAGGUAUAA